This 324-nucleotide long non-coding RNA is filed under the name Vigna radiata. RNAcentral's name for it is "long non-coding RNA (VRAD_LNC002554)". The record is from RNAcentral. Lineage: Eukaryota; Viridiplantae; Streptophyta; Magnoliopsida; Fabales; Fabaceae.
CGCGACGGACGGCUGGGAUGGCGCGGCGGCAAAGACGGUUUGACAGAGAUGGCACGAUAGCAGCGUUAUCGCGUGGAGGCAGAGACAGAGAAAAGCUUCAGAAUCGCGUGGAGAAGAUGAACUGUUCUGUGUUUUGUUUUUUUAACCUACCAAAGGGAAUAUGCCGCGGUUAACAACUUACCCGCGGUAGUAAAGGGGUAUAUGUAGCGGUUCACAACAUAAUCGCGGCCUAUACGCCUUAAAAAAAAUAAUAAAAAUGACAUUUUUGAAAUUAUUUUUGAAUCUAUAUGUCGCGGUUCAGCGGGCAACCGCGGUAUAUACCCU